RNAcentral lists this ribosomal RNA (446 nucleotides) under uncultured bacterium. RNAcentral describes it as "partial 16S ribosomal RNA". It matches the Rfam family "Bacterial small subunit ribosomal RNA", at positions 338 to 795 of the family's 1533-position model. The record is from RNAcentral.
CCUACGGGAGGCUGCAGUCGAGAAUCAUUCACAAUGGGGGAAACCCUGAUGGUGCGACGCCGCGUGGGGGAAUGAAGGUCUUCGGAUUGUAAACCCCUGUCAUGUGGGAGCAAAUUCAAAAGAGCGUACCCCAAUGAGAAGAGCCGGCAAACUCUGUGCCAGCAACCCCGGUAAUACAGCGGGGUCAAUCGGUGAUCGGCAUCAAUGGGCGUAAAGCGUGCGGAGGCUGUUUCGUAAGUCGGGUGUGAAAGGCGCGGGCUCAACCCGCGGACAGCACAUGAAACUGGGAGACUAGAGUAAGGGAGAGGGAAGCGGAAUGCGCGGUGUAGCAGUGAAAUGCGUAGAUAUCGAGAGGAACACUGGUGGCGAAGGCGGGUUCCUGGAGAUUAACUGACGCUGAGGCACGAAGGCCAGGGGAGCGAAAGGGAUUAGAUACCCCGGUAGUC